Molecule: ribosomal RNA, 253 nt
Filed under: uncultured bacterium
Lineage: Bacteria
Description: partial 16S ribosomal RNA
Rfam family: Bacterial small subunit ribosomal RNA
Source: RNAcentral
UACAGAGGUCCCGAGCGUUGUCCGGAUUUAUUGGGCGUAAAGAGCUCGUAGGCGGCUUGUCGCGUCGGCUGUGAAAACCCGCGGCUCAACUGUGGGCGGGCAGCUGAUACGGGCAGGCUGGAGUUCGGUAGGGGAGACUGGAAUUCCUGGUGUAGCGGUGAAAUGCGCAGAUAUCAGGAGGAACACCGGUGGCGAAGGCGGGUCUCUGGGCCGAUACUGACGCUGAGGAGCGAAAGCGUGGGGAGCGAACAGG